AGAGUUUGAUCCUGGCUCAGGAUGAACGCUAGCUACAGGCUUAACACAUGCAAGUCGAGGGGAAACGACAUCGAAAGCUUGCUUUUGAUGGGCGUCGACCGGCGCACGGGUGAGUAACGCGUAUCCAACCUGCCCAUCACUUGGGGAUAACCUUGCGAAAGUAAGACUAAUACCCAAUGAUAUCUCUAGAAGGCAUCUGAAAGAGAUUAAAGAUUUAUCGGUGAUGGAUGGGGAUGCGUCUGAUUAGCUUGUUGGCGGGUAACGGCCACCAAAGCAACGAUCGAGUAGGGGUUCUGAGAGGAAGGUCCCCCANAUUGGAACUGAGACACGGUCCAAACGUCCUACGGGAGCA
RNAcentral lists this ribosomal RNA (352 nucleotides) under uncultured bacterium. Its description in RNAcentral is "bacterial SSU rRNA". It matches the Rfam family "Bacterial small subunit ribosomal RNA", at positions 8 to 350 of the family's 1533-position model. The record is from RNAcentral.